RNAcentral lists this long non-coding RNA (2273 nucleotides) under Oryctolagus cuniculus (rabbit). Its description in RNAcentral is "lncRNA (ENSOCUG00000038281.1)". The record is from RNAcentral. Lineage: Eukaryota; Metazoa; Chordata; Mammalia; Lagomorpha; Leporidae.
GAAGGGAGGCUGCUAGGACACAUUACUCUGGAGGCAGAAACCUCCAAGUAUCUUGUUCAUCCCAAGUGGAAGGUGCCUCGUGCCAGCUGCAGGUGUGUGUGCGAGCUCGUGCCUGCACGUGGAGCGCGGGCCCCUCUUCCCGCGCGGUUCUUGCGGUGCCUGGCACCAGAUGCCGCGCCGUGGGCGUGGGGGUGGUCCGCCUUGAGGGUCAGCGGGCUGCCCAGGGGCUCAGCUCCCUGGCCCCGUGGCCUCCGGAUCACCUCUCUGCAGGGAGGUUUCCGUCAGUCCCCGUGUGCUCUUAGUUAUUCCUCUGCCGUACUGGCCGGCUCUGGGCGUCUUUCUCAUUCUUUGCCUAGUCUUCUGGUCCCACCAGCCCAGCCUCACUCUGCCAGAAGCCCAGGCCGGGGUCUGCGGGAGAGAGACAGGGGCUGGGCUGCUGGGACCUGCGCCGGGGAGUGCUUGGGCGGCCGCCUCUGCUCACCCUGGCAGUCCCUGCGUUCAGUGAACCUGGUUGCUACCAGAUCCCAGUCCCAGCACACACACUCCCUGUGUGCGUCCCGAGCGAGCAGGGCUUUUCCUGUGGAAUUCUCCAGGAACGUGGCUUCUAAGGGGUUCGAGCUUCUAAAAAUCAAAUCGCAGUCUUCUCCAGAGAAGUAUGGCACACGAGGCCCUUCAGCGGGACUGCUGAAACGGGCGCGACCACGCCAGGUCGGGAUACCCGGGGAAGGCCUGGAUGCUCAGUGGAGCAUGCCGAACUGCCACAUUUAGACAGAAAUGCUGUUUCUGAAACAAAAGAAUAUUCAAUUUUUUUUAUUUGAGAGGCAGAGAGAGAGAGCGCUCCUAUCCACUCGUUCAUUCCCAGAUGCCUGCCACUUCCAGGCGAGGCCAGGGCUGGGGCUGAAGCCAGGGAAUGCAGUGCAGGCGUCCCGCCCCGCCCCGCCCCGCCCCGCGUGUGUGGCCGGGACCUGAUUGCUUUGCCAUCGCUGCAGCCUCCUGGGAUCUGCAUUAGCGGGAAGCUGGAGUCAGGAGUCAGAGCGGGGAAUGGAAGGAAACCCAGGCACUUGGCUGUCCUAACUGCUAGGCUGAGCGGCUGUGCCAACAAGGUGGAUUUGACAAUAUGAAUUAAUGAGUGGCGAAGUGUGAUUGAUCUUCCAGGGCUUGCUUUAAGGAUAGGUUUAUAAAUAGCACAUCAGUUUUCUGUGGCCUGGUUUGGUGCUGAUUAAGUUAAACUUCUUUUAAAAAGGUUUAUUUUCUUUAGAAGGUUAAACAUUUGCCUUGCAAUUGUAUUUACUCCAUCAACUUGCUUAGCAAGGCUUUUUAAAUAUGUAGUCCAAAGGCCAAUCACAAAGUUCUGUAUCGCCGUGAGUUCAGAGUUACAGGGACCUAAAUUCCCAGCUAAUGAUGGCUUUUUAUUUUUAUUUUUGUUUAAGACUUAUUUAUUUAUUUGAAAGACAGAGUUACAGAGAGGCAGAGGCAAAGAGAAGGAGAGAGAGCUUCCAUCUGCUGGUUCCCUCCCCAAAUGGCCACAAUGGCAGGAGCUGUGCCAAUCCAAAGCCAGGAGCCAGGAGACUCCUCUGGGUCUCCCAGUUGGGUGCAGAGGCCCAAGGACUUGGGCCAUCUCCCACUGCCUUCCCAGGCCGUAGCCGAGAGCUGGAUCAGAAGUGGAGCAGCUGGACUUGAACCGGCGCCCAUGUGGGAUGCUGGCACUGCAGGUGGGGCCUUUACCCGCUACGCCACAGCGCUGGCCCCAUUAGUGAUGUCUUACCCUAUCUGCAGUGUGGUGUCUGUAGGAAUUAGCUUAUGUGAGGGACACUGAAGUGUAAACAGUUAGACUUCCAGGAACUGUCCUGCUGAAACCCAUCAUCAUACAGGCCUGGUAGACAGGUGUCUACCACAGUGCCUAACAGGAACUGAGAUUCUGAGUCGUCUUCCGUUAAUGAUAAUUUGAGGGUGGGCAUUUGGCACAGUGGUUAAGGUGCUGCCUGGGACACCUGCGUAACUUGCUGGAGUGCCUGGGUUCAAGUUCCAAACUGCCUUUGCUUCCAUCUUCUGGCUAACAUGGCCCCUGGACGACUCAAGUACUUGGGUCCUGGCUACCUACGUGACAGACCUGAGUUGACUUCCAGUCUCCUGACUUUGGCCUGGUCCAGCCCUGGUGGUCGCUGGCCCUUGGGGAGUGAACCAGCAGGUGGAGGACCUCUCUGUGUCUGUCUGUGUCUUCCUCUCUCUGUCUCUCAAAUAAAAAUAAAUAAAGAUUUUAAAAAGGAGAAUUU